GCUUGUUUAGCUCAAUGGUAGAGCAGCAGUUUUGUAAACUGAAGGUUGGGGGUUCAAAUCCCUCAAUAAGCA
RNAcentral lists this transfer RNA (72 nucleotides) under Candidatus Protochlamydia naegleriophila. RNAcentral's name for it is "Protochlamydia naegleriophila tRNA". It matches the Rfam family "tRNA". Rfam says of the family: Transfer RNA (tRNA) molecules are approximately 80 nucleotides in length. Their secondary structure includes four short double-helical elements and three loops (D, anti-codon, and T loops). Lineage: Bacteria; Pseudomonadati; Chlamydiota; Chlamydiia; Parachlamydiales; Parachlamydiaceae. The record is from Rfam by way of RNAcentral.